Molecule: non-coding RNA, 659 nt
Organism: Callithrix jacchus (white-tufted-ear marmoset)
Lineage: Eukaryota; Metazoa; Chordata; Mammalia; Primates; Cebidae
Source: RefSeq, a predicted model, not a curated record
CCACUACUGGGCUUCAGAAGAAAGCUGCGAAGUUCUUUCCUUCUCAUCCCCUAACCCCAUUUCAUUUCUCUCAUAGAAGGAGGAGUGCAGAUCUGAAACUGGAUUCUGGGAUGGUAACCGAGCAACAUGUUCUAGGGAUGAAACUUUCAAAAGAGGUAUAGUAUUAAACACAGAACAGAGGGGACUCAAGAUGGCGCUGUGAGAACAACCCAGGAUUGGAGCCCGCAUUGAAUCCGCAAACGACUCUACCAAGGAAAAUCAAGUCUCUUCUUAGAUGGCACACUCAGAAGCAAUAACAAUAUUUUACAAAUGACAAUAGAUAUCUGAUUACUGCUAAAAUUUAAUAUAUACACUUGAUGGAAAAAUAAAUUUCAUAACAUCCUAUACUAAUGUAAUCCAUACACUGAAUAAAAACUCUAUCUUCAACUUUGUAUUAAGAUAGAUAUGCCAGAAUCUCAAGACAAUAAAAUCUCACUAGAGAGUAUCAUAUACCAGAACCUUAAAUUGCUUUCAGCAUCUCCACAGUGAUUCAGUGCAUUAAUGUUAAAUGAUUAGUUAAAAGCAUUUAAAUCAACCUUCUGUUCUUGAAAUUUUCCAUGAAUGAAAACAUCCAUUUAAAAAGAUCUUGCAAAAAUGAUUCCAUUGAAAAGAAAAAGAGA